UACGUAGGGGGCGAGCGUUAUCCGGAAUUACUGGGCGUAAAGCGCACGCAGGCGGCUCGCCAAGUUUGGUGUGACAGUUGUCGGCUCAACCGACAAAGGACUUCAAAAACUGGUGAACUUGAGGACGAGAGAGGAACAUGGAACUCCAGGUGUAGUAGUGAAAUGCGUAGAUAUCUGGAAGAACACCAAUGGCGAAGGCAAUGUUCUGGCUCGUUUCUGACGCUCAGGUGCGAAAGCCAGGGGAGCGAACGGG
This 253-nucleotide ribosomal RNA is filed under the name uncultured bacterium. Its description in RNAcentral is "partial 16S ribosomal RNA". It matches the Rfam family "Bacterial small subunit ribosomal RNA", at positions 524 to 776 of the family's 1533-position model. The record is from RNAcentral.